RNAcentral lists this ribosomal RNA (253 nucleotides) under uncultured bacterium. Its description in RNAcentral is "partial 16S ribosomal RNA". It matches the Rfam family "Bacterial small subunit ribosomal RNA", at positions 524 to 776 of the family's 1533-position model. The record is from RNAcentral.
UACGGAGGGGGCUAGCGUUGUUCGGAAUUACUGGGCGUAAAGCGCACGUAGGCGGCUUUGUAAGUUAGAGGUGAAAGCCCGGGGCUCAACUCCGGAAUUGCCUUUAAGACUGCAUCGCUAGAAUUGUGGAGAGGUAAGUGGAAUUCCGAGUGUAGAGGUGAAAUUCGUAGAUAUUCGGAAGAACACCAGUGGCGAAGGCGACUUACUGGACACAUAUUGACGCUGAGGCGCGAAAGCGUGGGGAGCAAACAGG